RNAcentral lists this long non-coding RNA (5155 nucleotides) under Gallus gallus (chicken). The record is from RNAcentral. Lineage: Eukaryota; Metazoa; Chordata; Aves; Galliformes; Phasianidae.
GAAAAUUGUUACAAACAUUUCACAAACUCAAUAGUAUUUUUUUUUAACUUCAUUUACGUAUGUGCUGGUGGAAGUGGACUUCUCUUCCUGUGAAUGGAUGGAGGGCGAUGAAGGAGUCCUUUGGAACACAGGUUCAUUUGUGCAGGUCUGGUGCAAGGGAAAGAAACACAGCAAAGCAAGUUCUCCAGGUACCAAUGUUUUUAGAAACCUUCUAUUCUAGUGGGCUAAAAUCAACCGAGCAACUGCGUCUACUUCAGAUGAGAAAACCAUGGACAGCCUGUAAGCAGUUCCUGAUCUGCUACCCAAAAAUCUGUUCUCUGAUUGGUAAGUCUGGAAUCCAUACAAAUUUCUAAUUGUAUUAUGCCACAUUAAGCAACAAUUUAACCUGCGCUCAUUCUAACUAUCGCAGAAACACACUCUUAGUUUCUAGUAUUCACUUUUUUUUGUUGUUUUAGUUUGUCCAUAGCAAUUGUAAUGGAGGCUUCUAAACUUGUUCACAAGAAGAGGAAACAUUCCUGAACUAACUUUCUUGUCUGGCAUAAAUGCUAAGGAAUAAAUGUUCUGGUCUUCUAAUUUUUCUCACUAUUACUUUAAGGGGUAAAAAUAAAUGCAUGUCCAAAACACUUUACUGCUUGUAAAGUCCUUCUGUGUUUUAAUGUGCCUUGGUAUGACAAAAUAAGAGGAUAUCUUCAAGUUUAGUAAGUCUCCUUUUCCUGUGUACUUUAAUUUAUUUUUCACUCAUUUCAAAGUGACUGCGCGGCACUCUAUACAUUGUAAAAAAAAAAAAAAAAAAAAAAAAGGCUCUAGAAAUGCUAGUCAUGUCUAAAGUGAGAAUAAUUGGCCCUGACAGAGAGGAAAGUAGUAAUUGGAAUGAGACUUGUUUAAAUAACAGUUAAAAUUUUCUUUCCUUACUUUUCCGAUUAUAUGCGCUAUAAAGCAGGAUUUCUUUGCCUUGGGUGUUUCACAGAGUCGUUUCUGUAUCCAGCAUGCCCAGCAGUAUAACUCAACUAAUAAGCAGAGCUGUAAUUUGGAAUAGACUUUGAGUUUAGAUCCCUAACAUACAAAUACACCAUUCAAUUGGUAUUAAAACCGUAGCAUCAAAAUAUUCAGUAAGCUGAAGCAGGACAGGCUAAUUGCAUCCUCUAAUUAUUUGAAGUUGUCAUCAUUUCUUCAUUCUGAAUGGUUAAAUGGAAAUUCAGAUGCAACACUUGAGGAGGAAAAACAUGCUUAAAAGCCUGAGGUAUGAAUACACUCCCUGCUCUGUUAAACACUCUCCUCACUGUUAGUUCCCAAGGAAGAGAAAAGUUACUAUGUUUUUUUACCCCUUCCUCUGUGUGAUUUGUGUUGUUCUUAAAUAUAGCUUCACUUGCAGCUAUGCAGAACAGGUGUUUUAAAAAGGUUUGGAGUAUGUCAAGGUUUAGUACUGUAAUGAGGCUGAGAUUGUUUUCUUGAGUACAUUUGUCUCCAGCAGUAGAUGCAGCCCCCAUCAAAAAGGGUGGGGAGGUUUUUGUGGUCACAUCUGCCCCCCUUCAAAAUAUUUAUGGCAAAUAUAAAUCAAAACAUGCCUUGAAAAUCUGGGAGAACCAAUCUGGAGACAUUUGCACUGGAACAAAAUAAAAGCUUAACGUGUCCUGACUUGCAAAAUAAUAUGUGGGAAAUGUUGUAUUAAAUUGAUAUUUUCUUUCUGCAGCUCUAAGGGACAGACCAGAACAGACCAGAACUUCUAGUCUCAAGCACUAGUUGUCUUUUUGAUAACUUCAGUCGUCUCCUGAUCUUUUAGCUAAAAACUCUGAAGUGACUUAGAUCGUCUCUUUUAUCUUAAUUUAUUUACUUAUUAAUUAAAGGAAAGCAAAGUUAUGGAUGAAAUUUGACUCCAUUAAUGUGAUUUAUUAUUGACUUCAGUAACACAGAAUUUAAUUUUUUUAAAGUGGCUGGUCCAUUCUUUUGCAUAGUAGAUCCAAAACGUCUGAAAUUCAGGAUUCAGAAUUUCCUGGCUUUUUCAUGCUGCCCAAACUGUAAAACAGAGGACAGCAAUUAUAAUAGCUCACAAUUUUGAAUGUUUGGCUUCCAUUUAUGUCACUUUUACUAGAAGAAUCUGAACUCCUAAAAGACCUUUCUGCCUGUGAAAUAAAAUCAACUGGGAUUUUAUUAGAAGAGAUGACAAGAUGAGCUCAAUCUGUGUCUUCUUUUUUUUCGAUACAGGUGUCAUUUCAUCAGCUAUUAAUGAAAGUCACUUGAUUUUCUUCUAAUCUUCCCCAAGACAUUCAGCAUUUUUCUAAUGCUUUUACCUAGGAACUAUCUAUAUAUGAACAAUAGUACAAUUUGUUUGAAUAAAUGUUACCAUUAGUCAGAAUGUGGGAGUUUCACGGACAUUUCUGACUUUUAAGUAGCAAAAUGAAAAUAGAAAAAUUUUGCAGCACACCCUCCUCAAAAACCAACCAAGCAGCAAAAACAGUUUCCACAUCAUUUCAGUUUCUGUUCAUGUGUAUUGACAAAAUGCUCUACAAGAGUUUUAUUUUAUCUGCUCACAUCUUCUCUCUCGUGAAGCCUUCCUCUUCUGUUGAACUACAACUGCCACAGUCUUUUCAGUCUCACUGAGUGGCACAGCCUCUAUCCUGGGUUGCCAGUAAGGCAUGCAGUUGAUGGGGAAAGCCAACCAGCAGAGAAGUAUGAGUGCAAGAAGCUCUCAUAUUAUGAUUUCUGUGAGCCAGGCAUUCUCAAGUGAAUCUCAAACUCUUCUGUUACUUUUUCACAAGGAACAGCUCUAUGGCUGGCAGGAGUCUGGGAUUCCUCUAAAAAGUUCAAGUAAGUUUGGAAGAUGAAGAGCCUUCAUGCAUGAGGACAAAAUUGGAGCUGCAUCAGAUGUGUUUGUAUGAUUCCAGUCUAGGUCAAAUAUGCCUAGCCCUUCUGUAUGGCAGAUCAAGAGUUCAAGUAUAAAAUGACAUCGUGUUUUAAAUGGGUACUUUCAGUGUAAGCAGCAGCUGCAAGUGCAAAAAGCAAUGAUAUUGCCAUCACACCCCUAACAGUCAAAACUGUUUGGAAAUCUCAUUUGUUUUUCAUUAGUUACCGCAACAGUUUGAAUAAAAUCCUGUUCAAUCUCAGCAAAGAGUACUUUGGAAAUGUUAGUCUGUUAUUCUUUAAACAAAGUUCAACGGCUAUUAACAGAGUACUUGUUUAUGAUCUUCUAUAAAUAUUAUGUUUCUGUACUUCUUUGAAAAUGUGGACUUUUUAAUUUCAUUUUUAUUUUAGUAAAAACUGUAAAAUUAUGACUCACCAGCUGCAGAGUGCCAAGACAGGAUAUUUCCCAAUAUAUGGGGCAAACAACAUUUUUAUGUAUUUUUGUUACCAAUCAUAUAAAACCCAGCUUAUUUUUAUAAAUGGCUCCACAGGCCUGCACCAUAAAAGUUGCAUAUAAUUUUAUCCCAGUUUUCAGGGAUUUUGGUGCCCAUUACCUAGGAAAUGUAAACUCUCAUGUUCCUGAGCAAAGUUGUCGUUUUAGUGAUCAGUGAAACCCACUUGUUUUCAAGCACAAGUGGCUACCUUUCUUCUACUCAGCCAAGAUCUUAUAACCCAGACAGAAAGUUGAGCUAGACCAAAAAAAAAAAAAAGAAAAAAAGAAUGCCUGCUGCUAUGAGGUUUCAAUGCUACAAAUUAAAAGGAAGUUGCAAAAGUAGUAAGGUGCAUGUAGUGAUAUUUUUUUCUUAUUCCCUGAGUAUAUAUUCUGUUGGCAUAGUUGUACAGAUAUCACUUACCUGUAAAUAAUCCAGAAAAAAAUCACGUCUUAAAUUAAGGUAAUGAAGGGCUGAAGUUUCAUUAUAUUUUGAUGUUUGAAAAGCUUACUGUAAUAAUACCUAUAGUGGUUUACCUCCAAAACACUGAAUGUGCUUGAUCAAAAGGAUUUAUAUUGAGCUAUUUCCAUAAAUAACAUGGUGAUGCGAGUGUGUGGUUUAAUCCUCAGAUGUAUAUUUUACAAAAACUUAAACUUAUCCCUGAUGACUACAGCAAUUAAAAGCAGUAGAUUUAUAUUUAAAUGAAAAUAGAAUGACUUGUGGCACUGUUUUCACUCCUAUCUAAACCUUUAUGUGUUUUUUUAAUCAAAACUGAGAUAAAAUUAGAUGUAGUAUUAUGAUUUGUGACACACUAAUGCAUUCUGGCUUUAAUUCUCACCUUUGGUUUUAUUGUUACUUGGACUAUUGUCCAAUAACAUACCUUUAACAAAUGAUAUACCACACAGACAAAUUCAGAAGGUUCUUCCCAUCUGAUAGUUCUUGACAGAGAGCUCUAAACUGGGGGAAAAGGGUAAUAUUUGACAUUUCUUGUGUGCUGAUUUUCUUUAUAGCCAUGUCCUUUGGAUAAGAUGUGGCUUCUCAGUGGAAAUAAUGGUUUCCUAAGGAAGGAAAUCUAAGGAGAAGAUUCACUCCAUGAGGUCUUUGAGAGAUGGGGAGAUUGGUUAUCAGAAGGAAAAUUUUGUAGCACAUCUCAAUAAAACAUAUUCUUGAUUAGGCUGUGGCAAUAUAUAUAUAUAUAUUUUAAUUAAGGUAGAGCUAGAUACAUACCUCUCAUUUGAGCAAAAUGUACAUGAAACACUUUGUCAAAAAAAAAAAAAAAUAGCAGACAGUUUACUUUUGGAAAUUGGGUUUAUGUGCUUUGUUCCAACUUUUUUUUUUUCUAGGUAAUGCCAAGCAACAAUAUGAAGACCUCGAAUUUGACUUUUGUAGAAAGUAGAUGAAAGCCCUGGGAAACUUUUUUCCUCAAUUCUGUGAGCCUGAGGAUAAACAGGAAAAGUUGUAAGAGUGGUAAACAAACUUCGAGGAGUGCAGAUUAAGUAACUAAGAAGCAAAACACGAAUGUGCAGUUUAUCUUGGAAGAAAGAAAAUGGAGCAUAAGGAAUAUACCAUAUCCAUCCAGCACAGAUGCACAGAACAUACAGAACAUUCAGAACGUUUCUUCUCCUAGCUGGAAGCAGCAUUAAUGGCCUUGUACAUUUGCCUGAGAACUGGGAAUAGAAAUGUUACCAGCCCUGCUGAUAACCAUGCCCUGGUGCGCCUUCUGAAUUGGGCACACAGCCCCAGCCAGGCUCUUAAUGGAGUGAUGACACUAACGCUGCAACAAUAGAAAGGCCUCCAGGGAUGCUGGCUGCAGAGCAGAGGUGCAG